RNAcentral lists this ribosomal RNA (528 nucleotides) under uncultured bacterium. Its description in RNAcentral is "bacterial SSU rRNA". It matches the Rfam family "Bacterial small subunit ribosomal RNA", at positions 355 to 896 of the family's 1533-position model. The record is from RNAcentral.
UGGGGAAUUUUCCGCAAUGGGCGAAAGCCUGACGGAGCAAGACCGCGUGAGGGAGGAAGGCUCUUGGGUUGUAAACCUCUUUUCUCUGGGAAGAAGAUCUGACGGUACCAGAGGAAUCAGCAUCGGCUAACUCCGUGCCAGCAGCCGCGGUAAUACGGAGGAUGCAAGCGUUAUCCGGAAUUAUUGGGCGUAAAGCGUCCGUAGGUGGCGGUUCAAGUCUGCCGUUAAAACCAGUAGCUUAACUACUGACAGGCGGUGGAAACUGAACAGCUAGAGUGUGGUAGGGGUAGAGGGAGUUCCCAGUGUAGCGGUGAAAUGCGUAGAGAUUGGGAAGAACACCGGUGGCGAAAGCGCUCUGCUGGACCACAACUGACACUCACAGGACGAAAGCUAGGGGAGCGAAAGGGAUCAGAUACCCCUGUAGUCCUAGCCGUAAACGAUGGAUACUAGGUGUUGUGAGUAUCGACCCUCACAGUGCCGGAGCCAACGCGUUAAGUAUCCCGCCUGGGGAGUACGCACGCAAGUGUG